RNAcentral lists this transfer RNA (121 nucleotides) under Sphingomonas prati. Its description in RNAcentral is "tRNA-Asn". The stretch from base 50 to 116 matches the Rfam family "tRNA". Rfam says of the family: Transfer RNA (tRNA) molecules are approximately 80 nucleotides in length. Their secondary structure includes four short double-helical elements and three loops (D, anti-codon, and T loops). Lineage: Bacteria; Pseudomonadati; Pseudomonadota; Alphaproteobacteria; Sphingomonadales; Sphingomonadaceae. The record is from RNAcentral.
GCGCGGCGGGGCUUCCCGGAGCGUGGGUUCAGACGAGGGCGAACAUCGUGCCAUCGCCGACGUCCUAUGAGCGUUCGACUGUUAAUCGAAUGGUCGCCGGUUCGAAUCCGGCGGCAGCGCG